Molecule: ribosomal RNA, 433 nt
Filed under: uncultured bacterium
Lineage: Bacteria
Description: partial 16S ribosomal RNA
Rfam family: Bacterial small subunit ribosomal RNA
Source: RNAcentral
AACGAACGCUGGCGGCAUGCCUAACACAUGCAAGUCGAACGAGACCUUCGGGUCUAGUGGCGCACGGGGGCGUAACGCGGGGGAACCUGCCCUUAGGUUCGGAAUAACUCCCCGAAAGGGGUGCUAAUACCGGAUAAUGUCUUCGGACCAAAGAUUUAUCGCCUUUGGAUGGGCCCGCGUUGGAUUAGCUAGUUGGUAGGGUAAAAGCCUACCAAGGCGACGAUCCAUAGCUGGUCUGAGAGGAUGAUCAGCCACACUGGGACUGAGACACGGCCCAGACUCCUACGGGAGGCAGCAGUGGGGAAUAUUGGACAAUGGGCGAAAGCCUGAUCCAGCAAUGCCGCGUGAGUGAUGAAGGCCUUAGGGUUGUAAAGCUCUUUUACCCGGGAUGAUAAUGACAGUACCGGGAGAAUAAGCUCCGGCUAACUCCGUG